Juglans regia (Persian walnut) is the source of this 1275-nucleotide long non-coding RNA. RefSeq lists it as uncharacterized. NCBI's taxonomy places the organism in Eukaryota, Viridiplantae, Streptophyta, Magnoliopsida, Fagales, Juglandaceae. The transcript has 2 exons. The record is from RefSeq and is a predicted model, not a curated record.
AGUUUUAGUAAUUACAAUAUUUACUGCAAUUUUCCCUCUUCCCGCAUGAUUCCGGAGAAUUGUUUUUGCCCAACAAUUAAUACAUUUCUCUGGCCUCAAUUUACACCCUUCUUCUACCCCAAUAGUUCAAUUCAUUUCCAUUACUCUCUCUCUCUCUCUCUCUCUCUCUCUACCUGUACCCUCCACAAUUAAAUUAAGCUUUAAAGAUCACCCAUCGCUCUCCCUUCAUUUCCCUUAUAUAUAUAAUGGCGCUUGGAGGUCCAUACCCACUUCACAAAGGCCAGGUUGAUGGUGCCGGAGCUAGUCUUGAUCGGUUCAUAACUAGCCGGUCUCCGUCCAUCCCUUCUCCUCUCUCUUAUAAUCCUCUCCAUAUCAGUCUAUACUCACCCUCUGCGGAAAUUGACGUUGGCACAAUAGUCGUUUCGACCUCGAGGCAGGGUGACAUAUAUUUGCACGAAGUACACGAAAAUGAGUCGGCGAAGUGGAAGCAGUCCAAAACUAGAAUUGAAGCUGAACCUCUCACCACCUAGACCCAACCCACGAGUGGAGUCGCCGAGCCGCUCGGCCACAGUGUCACCGACGUCACCACCAAGCUCGUGUGUGUCAAUGGAGCUCAACCAGGAUGACUCUCUCCGGUACUCCAACAGCCCUGAGGCCACGUCUAUGGUGCUGGUGGGGUGUCCACGCUGCCUCAUGUACGUGAUGCUCUCCGAGGACGACCCCAAAUGCCCCAAAUGCAAGAGCACCGUUUUGCUGGACUUUCUUCAGGACACCACCAGCCCCAACAUAAAGACAAGAAAGAGUUAAGAGUAGGCCCCCCUCUCUUAUUUUCCCUAUCGGAGCUAGGACUUAUUUAAGCGUUUCUGCUUUUAUAUCUCUCUUUUGGUCUCUGUUCUUUUUUAAUAUGUCUCUCGAAGAGGCAGCGCUAUUUGCGCUCCAUUUUUAGCUCCAUCCCAUAGUUUUGAGGAAGGUUAUUCCUGGUGGAUGGGAUCCAGAGCCCCUGCGGAAAGGUGGAGCGCGAAUAGCACUACCUUUAUUUAUCUUUUUACUUUGCAAAUCAUAGAAAAUAGGAAAUGGGCAAUCUUUUUUGGGGUUGGGGGGGAGCAUCUGGUUGGGAGGGGAGAGGUGGGCUAGGGUCUGUGUUAGGACUGUCUCUGUUUCUUUCUGGGUUCAGCUUUCUUCCCUCUUUAGCAGAGGACGAUGUAAACGGGUUUAACUAUGAGGGUCCAGAAUCUUCUUUAUCAAAAUUUUAGGUAAUAUUUGCUUUUGCCUUAC